RNAcentral lists this ribosomal RNA (253 nucleotides) under uncultured bacterium. RNAcentral describes it as "partial 16S ribosomal RNA". It matches the Rfam family "Bacterial small subunit ribosomal RNA", at positions 524 to 776 of the family's 1533-position model. The record is from RNAcentral.
UACGUAGGGUGCAAGCGUUAAUCGGAAUUACUGGGCGUAAAGCGUGCGCAGGCGGUUCGCCAAGUCAGGUGUGAAAUCCCCGGGCUCAACCUGGGAACUGCAUUUGUGACUGCAUCGCUGGAGUGCGGCAGAGGGGGAUGGAAUUCCGCGUGUAGCAGUGAAAUGCGUAGAUAUGCGGAGGAACACCGAUGGCGAAGGCAAUCCCCUGGGCCUGCACUGACGCUCAUGCACGAAAGCGUGGGGAGCAAACAGG